GAUGAACGCUGGCGGCGUGCCUAAUACAUGCAAGUCGAGCGAACGGACGAGAAGCUUGCUUCUCUGAUGUUAGCGGCGGACGGGUGAGUAACACGUGGAUAACCUACCUAUAAGACUGGGAUAACUUCGGGAAACCGGAGCUAAUACAGGAUGAUAUUUUGAACCGCAUGGUUCAAAAGUGAAAGACGGUCUUGCUGUCACUUAUAGAUGGAUCCGCGCUGCAUUAGCUAGUUGGUAAGGUAACGGCUUACCAAGGCAACGAUGCAUAGCCGACCUGAGAGGAUGAUCGGCCACACUGGAACUGAGACACGGUCCAGACUCCUACGGGAGGCAGCAGUAGGGAAUCUUCCGCAAUGGGCGAAAGCCUGACGGAGCAACGCCGCGUGAGUGAUGAAGGUCUUCGGAUCGUAAAACGCUUUUAUUAGGGAAGAACAUAUGUGUAAGUAACUGUGCACAUCUUGACGGUACCGAAUCAGAAAGCCACGGCUAACUACGUG
This 497-nucleotide ribosomal RNA is filed under the name uncultured bacterium. Its description in RNAcentral is "partial 16S ribosomal RNA". It matches the Rfam family "Bacterial small subunit ribosomal RNA", at positions 28 to 507 of the family's 1533-position model. The record is from RNAcentral.